Molecule: non-coding RNA, 2149 nt
Organism: Bactrocera oleae (olive fruit fly)
Lineage: Eukaryota; Metazoa; Arthropoda; Insecta; Diptera; Tephritidae
Source: RefSeq, a predicted model, not a curated record
GUAGAAGCAGCGAAUAUAAAUCAACGUUCUCUGGUAGAAGUACACAUUGCGUUGUGAGCAGCGAUUUGGUUUGUUGAAACGCAACCACCAAUCUUGAAUAUACUUGUAAAACAAGAACAAAAGCUAUAGAUAGAAGUUUCAUUCACUCAUAUAAACGGCUUUCGAAUUCUCAAAAAUGUUAACGAAUUGUGAAUUGAAAACAUUGAGCAUUUGAGAAAUAAAGUGUGCUUACCUAUAAGAUAUAUUUUUUUUCACUUACUACUUCUAAAAUGGAGUCAAAACAUAGGCUUUGCUAAAGCAAUGCUUGUUUUGCGAAUUACUCACCCUCAGGCAGGUACAUCCGUAUCCCCGACAUAUGCUCCGCAUAAUAACCUUUGACCAACGAAUAACAUCGCUGAUCAUGAAACGCGGCAUCAUCCCGGAACAGCAGAGGCGGAUUCGGAGAUUGCUAAGUACCGCUUCAUUCUGGUCAUCCCAUCCUUUAAGUGAACCCACCACGAAGCCGCCAAAUCGUACGUUGUUAUCCCUUGCCAGAGUUUAUAUCGUCUACACGAUAUGAGUAGAAAAAAAUGAGUAAUUUACUUUUGAGCUGCACCGAAAUGUGUGCGAUUUAUUGAUAUUCAUAAGACUCACUUGUUAUAAUGUAAUAAGUAAUACGUUCCUUAACUCCAGUGAGAGCGUCCACAAGGGGCUGAUAUUUUGCUAUUUUUUCCCUCCUGGCAGUUUCGAGAGCUCUUGAACGGUUCUCGAAUGGAAUACAUACAUACGUCGAUAAUCGUUACUCGGCGGCUGUCUUCAUCCCUAAUGACAAUGUCCGGUCUUAGGGCAGCCGCCGCGCCUUUAGCUUCUGGGAUUACUUGGAUAACGGAUUUAGUUCCGGGAUUACGGGCAGCAGCUCUCACCAGCCCGCUCUGGAUGGCAUCAUGUCUCCGCCUAAUUGCGACGCUGUGAGCAUGACAGUGGUUGAUCACAUGCGGGAGCGUCUCGGUCUCAUAUCCGCAUCUGCGACAUCUCUUAUCCGCCGAAGUGUGCUGUUGAGGGGCAGAACAUUGAGACGGGCGCGAUGGAUGAAGCGCCAGUCGCAGAAGCGGGUAUUACGACCGCUCCGGAGAAAGUGAUUGGAGACCGGGUGCUUUUUGGUCACUUCCAACACUUUCCUCUGAUCCCUCUUUUCCAAGAGGUCUCUCACAUAUUUGGCAACCUCUUUGCUGCUCAGCAUGUUGGCGAUCUUAUGCCGCCCGGCUGGUGAAACUGCAUCUUCCUUCCCCUAAAUAUGAUCCCGUGUGCCUACUCUCCCGGCAGCCAGCACCACUUGACGCCUAUCCUUCGGUGCAGACGGACCCACCGAUCUCGGAAUCUCCUGAUCCCCAGAGAGGUAUCGAGCCAUGUCUUCUGGAGACACUUCCCUCCUUCUCAUUCCCGACGACACUGCUUCAUGCAUGAGACUUUUUGCUGAAUUUGACAAUCCUGGGUCACAGCAGUGUAGCAGCCUAUAGGCAUGAGUGAUGGUAUAUAAUAUAUGUCGUACGCGUCUGAGAGGGGGAUCAGCCCUCCGCCUCCCUGUGACGGCGGUAGUUACACUAGUUCUGGGCUUGCUCGUUUUGGCAAAAAUAGCCAUUUCUUUGCCAGCUGUUUAAUACGCCCAUCUGCAACUCGAAGGUAUUCCUUCUCAAAGGUAUCUCCCUGCAUGAUGAAGUCAAGCCUCGGAGAGAGCCAUCGAUUGCAUUGGCGUCUGCAAUCAGCCCAAUAAGGGUGUUAACGGGAACUUGGCGGACCUGAUAACCUAUUGAGAUGCCCAGGUGUUCGUAGGCCUCCUCAUUUCUGAGGGCUGGCAUCAGGUUACCCUGGAUUGGAAAUUGCGUUGGCAGUGCGCCAUUCUCCCCGACAAAGUGUAGUGAAGCAGACUUCGCCGGUUUGAAUGUCGGGCCUACCGCGGCAGCUCCUUCCUCCGCGGCCCGGAUAAGGGAUGUCAUUCCCUCGACGGAGUCAGAAAUAAAACUCUUCUGCCUUCAAAAUUAUCUUGAUUCAUACGGGUGAAUAUAUUUUGUAAAACUGGGACUUUAACUAAAAAAACCAUCGAGGACUACUACCCUGUAAUUUUUUCAAUUUUAUGAUAUGAAUUUGUCUUAACUUAUUUAAAGUUAUUUUA